CUGUUAGGGGAAUGACGUAUUACUACAGAGCAAUCAAGAUGCUUGCUUUUCUUGAUUCUGCUACUGAGGCCGACCUUCAUGAAGG
Molecule: small nucleolar RNA, 85 nt
Organism: Erigeron canadensis
Lineage: Eukaryota; Viridiplantae; Streptophyta; Magnoliopsida; Asterales; Asteraceae
Product: small nucleolar RNA J33
Exons: 1
Source: RefSeq, a predicted model, not a curated record